AGCAGGGUGGUGCAGUGGAGGUGUGCUGGGCCCAUAACUCAGAGGUCAAUGAAUCAAAACCAUCCUCUGCUA
This is a non-coding RNA of Ataeniobius toweri, 72 nucleotides long. The record is from the annotation of a GenBank genome assembly. NCBI's taxonomy places the organism in Eukaryota, Metazoa, Chordata, Actinopteri, Cyprinodontiformes, Goodeidae.